GAGUCGUCCUGCGCGGAAGAUGUAACGGGGCUAAGCCAGUUACCGAAGCUGCGGAUGCACAGUUUACUGUGCGUGGUAGGAGAGCGUUCUGUACGCCUGUGAAGGUGGGUCGUGAGGCCUGCUGGAGGUAUCAGAAGUGCGAAUGCUGACAUGAGUAGCGUUAAAGGGGGUCAAAAGCCCCCUCGCCGUAAGCGCAAGGUUUCCUACGCAACGUUCAUCGGCGUAGGGUGAGUCGGCCCCUAAGGCGAGGCAGAGAUGCGUAGCUGAUGGGAAACAGGUCAAUAUUCCUGUACCGCUCAAUAGUGCGAUGUGGGGACGGAGAAGGUUAGCUCAGCCAACUGUUGGAUAUGUUGGUUCAAGCCUGUAGUCGUGCCUGGUAGGCAAAUCCGCCGGGCUUAGAUGAGGGGUGAUAACGAGAGUGCUUGCACUUGAAGUGAGUGAUACCCUGCUUCCAGGAAAAGCCACUAAGCUUCAGCUAUUGACGACCGUACCGCAAACCGACACUGGUGCGCGAGAUGAGUAUUCUAAGGCGCUUGAGAGAACUCGGGAGAAGGAACUCGGCAAAUUGGUACCGUAACUUCGGGAUAAGGUACGCCUCGGUAGCUUGAAUGGUUUACUCCAUGAGGGCGAAAAGGUUGCAAUAAAAUGGUGGCUGCGACUGUUUAAUAAAAACACAGCACUCUGCAAACACGAAAGUGGACGU
Molecule: ribosomal RNA, 703 nt
Filed under: Prymnesium parvum
Lineage: Eukaryota; Haptophyta; Prymnesiales; Prymnesiaceae
Description: partial Bacterial large subunit ribosomal RNA
Rfam family: Bacterial large subunit ribosomal RNA
Source: RNAcentral